Molecule: ribosomal RNA, 1012 nt
Filed under: uncultured bacterium
Lineage: Bacteria
Description: bacterial SSU rRNA
Rfam family: Bacterial small subunit ribosomal RNA
Source: RNAcentral
ACUCCUACGGGAGGCAGCAGUGGGGAAUUUUGGACAAUGGGGGCAACCCUGAUCCAGCAAUGCCGCGUGAGUGAAGAAGGCCUUCGGGUUGUAAAGCUCUUUUGUCAGGGAAGAAACGGUUCUGGCCAAUACCCGGAGCUAAUGACGGUACCUGAAGAAUAAGCACCGGCUAACUACGUGCCAGCAGCCGCGGUAAUAGGUAGGGUGCAAGCGUUAAUCGGAAUUACUGGGCGUAAAGCGUGCGCAGGCGGUUGUGCAAGACCGAUGUGAAAUCCCCGGGCUUAACCUGGGAAUGGCAUUGGUGACUGCACGGCUAGAGUGUGUCAGAGGGGGGUAGAAUUCCACGUGUAGCAGUGAAAUGCGUAGAGAUGUGGAGGAAUACCGAUGGCGAAGGCAGCCCCCUGGGAUAACACUGACGCUCAUGCACGAAAGCGUGGGGAGCAAACAGGAUUAGAUACCCUGGUAGUCCACGCCCUGAACGAUGUCAACUAGUUGUCGGGUCUUAAUUGACUUGGUAACGCAGCUAACGCGUGAAGUUGACCGCCUGGGGAGUACGGUCGCAAGAUUAAAACUCAAAGGAAUUGACGGGGACCCGCACAAGCGGUGGAUGAUGUGGAUUAAUUCGAUGCAACGCGAAAAACCUUACCUACCCUUGACAUGUACGGAAGCCCCGAGAGAUCGGGGCGUGCUCGAAAGAGAGCCGUAACACAGGUGCUGCAUGGCUGUCGUCAGCUCGUGUCGUGAGAUGUUGGGUUAAGUCCCGCAACGAGCGCAACCCUUGUCAUUAGUUGCUACAUUUGGUUGGGCACUCUAAUGAGACUGCCGGUGACAAACCGGAGGAAGGUGGGGAUGACGUUAAGUCCUCAUGGCCCUUAUGGGUAGGGCUUCACACGUCAUACAAUGGUACAUACAGAGGGCCGCCAACCCGCGAGGGGGAGCUAAUCCCAGAAAGUGUAUCGUAGUCCGGAUUGCAGUCUGCAACUCGACUGCAUGAAGUUGGAAUCGCUAGUAA